CCUCCGCUCCCUCCAAUAACGAACAUGAUGAGUCUUAACAUCUCCAUAACGACGCCUGGUUCCGAUCGCCAAACCCUAGAUUAGGAUUUACUGCCGAUGAAGUUGUUUUUACCUUUUCGUUUCUUCGAUCCUUCACCGUUUUCUAUAUUCCAAGGCGCACGGCAAUGUCAACAUUUUAGCUUUGCGGUUGGUCAAUGUUGUCUCUGAAGGCGGCGGAGACGACGGCUGAGUUGAUACAUUGAACCAUUUGUUUCUUUAUCUGAUUGUGUCCAAGCCGGAGCAGAGGAAUAUUUUUAUUUCCCGAAUAGGUCCAGUUUUGAGGUCUUAGGAUGCUAUUUUGAAGGAAGUUAGGGCUAAUUGUGUCUGAAUUUGUUGCUUCAUGAUGCUUAUUCAGCCCUUGUGCUGCUUGCUCUAGAAAAUUUUGAACUCUUUCACUACCCUUUGGAGCGAGGCGGAUAUACUCCAAAGCUCUCACCUACAG
Molecule: long non-coding RNA, 481 nt
Organism: Momordica charantia (bitter melon)
Lineage: Eukaryota; Viridiplantae; Streptophyta; Magnoliopsida; Cucurbitales; Cucurbitaceae
Source: RefSeq, a predicted model, not a curated record